RNAcentral lists this long non-coding RNA (725 nucleotides) under Carica papaya (papaya). RNAcentral's name for it is "long non-coding RNA (CPAP_LNC010626)". Lineage: Eukaryota; Viridiplantae; Streptophyta; Magnoliopsida; Brassicales; Caricaceae. The record is from RNAcentral.
AUUUCACAAAACGCCUAUGAUGAGGUCUUUCCCAAUUCUCGUUCUGUGUAAUUUUUCUACCGUUGUGAUCACCAUGUCCUUCUCUAUAGGUUGAUCAUAGCAAAACACUCAACUGAAAUGUGAGCCGGAGGAGCCGUCGCACUAGAGAGUCCCACUGCCGGUGAGUUUCAAGUUUUUGUAUUUUUUCUCGCAGAGAUCGAUGCAAAAUCGGCCGAAUUCAGCUGAAAAUUGUCGAAAAUAGUCGACCCAAGGCAGAGCCGUGCCGAAAUUCUGAAAUUGUCCAAGUGGACCCCGGGACUAAUUUUGGGUUUGUUUGAGACAUUUGUAGGUACUAUUAGCGCGUUUUAAUUUCCGAAGAAAAAUUCAGAGAACUCAGGAAUCGCCCAUAGGCGCAGUCAACCAGCUUAGCCUUUCUGGCAUCAAAUCGAGUAAGGAUCUCUCACACUAUUCCUUAUCAUAGAAUUGAAGUCUAAAUAAAUAAUUAUAUGGUAUUUAUACAAAUUAAAUAAAUGUGCAUAAUUAAUUACGGAUUGCUAAUGGAGCCUAAAUCAGAAAUUAUUCUCUGUUAAUUUUUGUUGAUUUAUUUUAUGAUCUAAAAGUAUGACGGUAUCUGGUUUAUUAAUUUUAUGGUUUGAAUGCAUGAAUUGCUGCCUUACAUGACUACUGUUUGAUUGGGAAAUUGAGAUAUGAUUGCAUUCUCUGAUGCAUGUUUGCUUGCUUAUAUG